This is an RNA transcript of Zingiber officinale, 3022 nucleotides long. It is a transcript of the gene named membrane-anchored ubiquitin-fold protein 4-like, with no coding region annotated. Lineage: Eukaryota; Viridiplantae; Streptophyta; Magnoliopsida; Zingiberales; Zingiberaceae. The transcript is spliced from 4 exons. The record is from RefSeq and is a predicted model, not a curated record.
UCGAUCACACGCCGGGUCAGCUCGCUCGCUCGCUCGCUCGCCUACGUCGUUUGUGAAUUGAAAUCAGAGAGAAGUAUCUGAUUUGAUUGAAAGUCAUGAAUUCGAUCGAAGACAUAGACGUGUUUAGUUGGACUUGGACGGUGUUAUCAUUAUAAUUUUGGCAACUUUGCUUUCUCUCCUUCCUCCAGCUAGCGGCCGCCGCAGCAGUCCUUACCGCUACUCUCCCGGAUUUCCUUUAUCUCCGCCUCGAUUCUAAUGCCAGAACAGGAGAAUCAGGUCGAGCUCAAGUUCCGUCUUUAUGAUGGUUCGGACAUCGGGCCGAUCCGCUGCGCUUCUUCUUCCACCGUCGCGAUGCUCAAGGAAAGGGUAAUCUCCGAGUGGCCGCGAGAUAAGAAGAUCAUUCCAAGGGUGGCCACUGAUGUGAAGUUAAUAUGUGGUGGCAAGAUUUUGGAGAACAGCAAAACAGUUGCUCAGUGUAGAUCACCUUUUGGAGAAAUUCCUGCUGGGUUUAUCACCAUGCUUGUUGUUGUCCAACCAUCCUCGAAUAAAAUUAAAACAGGAAAGAAGGUAGGCGAGCUAUCGAAGAAGACCACCUGUUCAUGCACCAUACUGUAGAACUAAGAGCUUUGCGGUGACUGCAGUACUACUUAUUUGAUUUGUUCUGUGCAUAAUCCAGGCUUGCCACUAUACUUUUUCAGAUGCAGAUAGUAUAGACUAAUUUAUAUCUCCCAAAACAGAGUCCAUUAUAAGUUCAUAAUUGCAACAAGAUCAUUCUAUUACUGAAAGCGAGGGGGCAUUGAUAUAUAUGCUGUUUGGCAACAUCUGUAGGUGCCAUACAAACUUUUCUGUUGUUCUUUAUGUUUCAAGUGCUCUGAUAUCAUGCGACUUUAUUCUUGUUAGCCUUCCAUGCUGUGCAUAUUAACCGAACCUAGUACAACUCUAACUGAGAGAUCCGGUGCUGCAUAGCAAGGCAUUGGGCCGGUGGGCAUGUCUGAAAUCACUGCACCAAGCAGAGGAUUCUGGGAGACAAGGAAAUUGCAGGAUUACGGCAUGAUACACUAGUUUUUUAAGAAGUGGGUUCUCCACUUAAUUUGUUAGUUGGAUGGUGUAUCAGUUAGUCUUCUCCUUUCCCUUUGGAAAAAGGAUGGAUAUGUUGGAUGGUGGGGGACUCUUCCCUCAUAUUGGGCAUCAUGAUUGAUCACCGAGAAUGGUGCUUCUGCUAUAAAAUAAUGGCAGCUUGAAUCAUAAUGCCUGUCGUAACGAGGGAAUUGUAGUGCACUAGUGACGUUCUCAGGAACAGCUUUUUCGACUUUGCUCUGGUUGGCAAGCAACUAGCUGGCUUUAUUGUCAGCAGCAUAUGUGCUCGACUAAUCAUCCAUAGUGCAUGCUUUUAGGUUCUUCGAGACUUCUCUCUCAAUGGUUCUUGAGAUAGCACAUGACUUAUGCUAGUUUUUGUUGUUGAUAGGAGAGUACUAGCACGGUAGUAAAUUGUAUCAAAAUAGUAAGUAUGUAAUAAACAGGUAAAUAAAAAAGUAAGAUUUAGAAAUUAGUAUCUUCCGGUUGAAACGUCGGUGUGCCGACUGUCCUUAGAGAAUUUAUUGCCGCCCACAGUGCAGAGACUCUCCGGCAAAAUUCUCCCAAGAUCCGACAACCACUCGCGUCGUCCGUAGGUGCAGUCCAAAACGAACAUCGCACUCGGACUCAACCUCAGAUCGUUAAACACCAAGCCUCAGGACACGGAAAACUAGAGCACGCAGAGAGGGAAGGGGGAAGGAGGAGAGAGUAGAUUGCUCGAGAGUGAAUGAAAAAUACUGUUUGAGUACGCAGGUAUUUAUUCACCCCAAAGCGAAGCACUGCUUUGCCUCGCGUUGGUUCACGCAGGACAGAACCAAACUAAAGACAGACUGGCAAAAACAAACCAGGUCGCCUGUAAGCGUGAGACCCACGAGUUGGAGAUUUGCACCCUCCCCCCUGCGCGCGAUGAUCGCGUGUGUCGCGCCCGGUUUAUGGAUUUCCGGCUUGAACCCCCGGAAACCACCUGAUUUGGGCUCGGCCCGCGCAUGUGUGUAGGUCCCCUUAACAUUGCUAAGCAAGGAUGGAAAGACUCCAUAUAUAAGCUCUUCCAACUUUCUUGACUUAGCAAUGUGAGACUAAAUACAUACAUAUAUGUAUUACCAAAACAAGAAAAAUAGUUUGAAUUAAAUACACAAAACUCAACCGUUUUCAAGUAACAUCAGUCUUUCCAUAGUAAUGAAAUUGUUUAUGUUUCAUUAUUUUGGGUCUAUCUUAGUAGGACUUCUUAUGUUGGGUCUAUCUUUACCUAAUUAAAGUACACGAGAAUGUGCUGUGUCCGCUAGGAUCGAUUAAACAAAGUUUAGAGAGAGAGAGAUCACUAAGCUUCCUAAAAUGUCACACACUUGGAGCAGGGGCCUUGAUUAUGUUAUCAUUUCCUUCCACAUUGGUUGCCUAUAAAAGCCAGGCAUGCCCGGACCAUGGAAUCCGUACCAUUUGUUGAUUGGAGACAUUUAACAAAUGAAUAUGUUGCAAAGAGCAGUCCUGCUUUGCAUUGCAGUGCUAAUGCAUCUGGCAUUGAGCAACUCAGUGGGCAUCAAUGCAACAACAGUUGGUAAGGCGAGCACUGCGGACCUCCUCGUCGGACAAGAGGUCAUGAAUCAAGCUGCGGGGCAUGGCUUGGCCGAUAUAGACGGAGAACAUAAGCAUUUACAGGGGGAAGUUAGCAAGCGCCUGGUUCCGUCGGGCCCUGAUAAAUAUCCACCACACUUUGAUCUCGACGCCGUCACCAUCGCCGCCGCACUGCCGCCGCCUCCACCUAAGAUGUUGAUCGACUGAAGCCACACGUUAUGGUUUGUUGGUGUAUGUAUAUGCAUGUUUGCAAGUUUAUGCUUUAAAAUUGUAGCUUGCUCUCACUUCUUUGGAGAUGUAUAACUAUGUACUAAUGCUGCCUGUAACAUGCUUGGACAUGCAGGCAAAUAUAAUAAUAAGAUUGUGAGAGAUUUGAGUA